RNAcentral lists this ribosomal RNA (415 nucleotides) under Culicoides pseudopallidipennis. Its description in RNAcentral is "partial 16S ribosomal RNA". The record is from RNAcentral. Lineage: Eukaryota; Metazoa; Arthropoda; Insecta; Diptera; Ceratopogonidae.
AAUGACCGGGGAAAGUAGCAUAAUCCAUUGUCUUUUAAUUAAAGGCUUGUAUGAAUGGUUGGAUGAGAUAUCAACUAUUUUUAUUUUAACAAAAAUGAAUUUUAAUUUUUAGUAAAAAUGCUAAAAUAAAAAAAUUAGACGAGAAGACCCUAUAAAUCUUUAUUUUUAAAAGAUAAUAUUAAUUUUGUAAAUUAUAAAAUAUUUAUUUUUUAAAAAUUUAAUUGGGAGGAUAAUGAAAUUUAAUAAACUUUUAUUUUGUUUUAUAAAUAUAAUUAAAUUUAUGAAUAUAUUAUAAUGUUUAGAAAAUUAAGUUACUUUAGGGAUAACAGCGUAAUUAUUUUAAAGAGUUCUUAUCGAUAAAAUAGUUUGCGACCUCGAUGUUGAAUUAAGAAUUAAUUAGGCGCAAAAGUUGAAU